RNAcentral lists this ribosomal RNA (444 nucleotides) under uncultured Pseudomonas sp. RNAcentral describes it as "bacterial SSU rRNA". It matches the Rfam family "Bacterial small subunit ribosomal RNA", at positions 936 to 1382 of the family's 1533-position model. Lineage: Bacteria; Pseudomonadati; Pseudomonadota; Gammaproteobacteria; Pseudomonadales; Pseudomonadaceae. The record is from RNAcentral.
AGCAUGUGGUUUAAUUCGAAGCAACGCGAAGAACCUUACCAGGCCUUGACAUGCAGAGAACUUUCCAGAGAUGGAUUGGUGCCUUCGGGAACUCUGACACAGGUGCUGCAUGGCUGUCGUCAGCUCGUGUCGUGAGAUGUUGGGUUAAGUCCGUAACGAGCGCAACCUUGUCCUUAGUUACCAGCACGUUAUGGUGGGCACUCUAAGGAGACUGCCGGUGACAAACCGGAGGAAGGUGGGAUGACGUCAAGUCAUCAUGGCCCUUACGGCCUGGGCUACACACGUGCUACAAUGGUCGGUACAAAGGGUUGCCAAGCCGCGAGGUGGAGCUAAUCCCAUAAAACCGAUCGUAGUCCGGAUCGCAGUCUGCAACUCGACUGCGUGAAGUCGGAAUCGCUAGUAAUCGUGAAUCAGAAUGUCACGGUGAAUACGUUCCCGGGCCUU